Molecule: transfer RNA, 85 nt
Filed under: Chromerida sp. RM11
Lineage: Eukaryota
Description: tRNA-Leu
Rfam family: tRNA
About the family: Transfer RNA (tRNA) molecules are approximately 80 nucleotides in length. Their secondary structure includes four short double-helical elements and three loops (D, anti-codon, and T loops).
Source: RNAcentral
GGGGGUAUGGUGAAAUAGGUAAACACGACGGACUUAAAAUCCGUUGACUAUUGCAGUCUUGAGGGUUCAAGUCCCUCUACCCCCA